UGAGUACGAGAUGCUACGGCAUCGAAGCAGUCUAUGUCAUACUUCCAAGAAAAGCUUGCACUGUCAUAAACAAAGAAUGCCUGUACCAUAACCGACACAGGUGGGUAGGUAGAGUAUACUAAGGGGCGCGAGAUAACUCUCUCUAAGGAACUCGGCAAAAUGACUCCGUAACUUCGGGAGAAGGAGUGCCUUAUUUCUAAGGUUGCAAUAACAAGAUCCAAGCAACUGUUUACCAAAAACACAGGUCUCCGCUAAGUCGUAAGACGAUGUAUGGGGGCUGACGCCUGCCCAGUGCCAGAAGGUUAAAGAAGUUGGUUAGCAUUAGCGAAGCUGAUAACUGAAGCCCUGGUGAACGGCGGCCGUAACAAUAACGGUCCUAAGGUAGCGAAAUUCCUUGUCGGGUAAGUUCCGACCCGCACGAAAGGCGUAAUGAUUUGGAUACUGUCUCGGAGAGGGGCUCGGUGAAAUAGACUUGUCUGUGAAGAUGCGGACUACCUGCACCUGGACAGAAAGACCCUAUGAAGCUUUACUGUAACUUGAGAUUGAAAUUGGACUUUAUUUGCGCAGUAUAGGUGGGAGGCGUUGAGAAUAAUCUUGCGGGAUUGUUGGAGCCAUCAGUGAGAUACCACUCUUGUAAUGUUAGAUUUCUAACUUUGUAUCAUUAUCUGGUCAAAGAACAGUUUCAGGCGGGCAGUUUGACUGGGGCGGUCGCCUCCCAAAGGGUAACGGAGGCGCACAAAGGUUUCCUCUGAACGGGUAGAAAUCGUAUCUAGAGUGUAAAGGCAUAAGGAAGCUUGACUGUGAGACCUACAAGUCGAGCAGGGACGAAAGUCGGUCUUAGUGAUCUGACGGUGCUGAGUGGAAAGGCCGUCACUCAACGGAUAAAAGUUACUCUAAGGAUAACAGGCUGAUCUCCCCCAAGAGUUCACAUAGACGGGGAGGUUUGGCACCUCGAUGUCGGCUCAUCGCAUCCUGGGGCGGUAGUCCGUCCCAAGGGUUGGGCUGUUCGCCCAUGAAAGCGGUACGCGAGCUGGGUUCAGAACGUCGUGAGACAGUUCGGUCCAUAUCCGGUGUAGGCGUUAGAAUAUUGAGAGGAGCCUUCUCUAGUACGAGAGGACCGAGAAGGACUUACCUCUGGUGUACCAGUUAUCGUGCCAACGGUAAACGCUGGGUAGCUAUGUAUGGAGUGGAUAACCGCUGAAAGCAUCUAAGUGGGAAGCCCACCUCAAGAUAAGUAUUCUCAUC
RNAcentral lists this ribosomal RNA (1245 nucleotides) under metagenome. RNAcentral's name for it is "bacterial LSU rRNA". It matches the Rfam family "Bacterial large subunit ribosomal RNA", at positions 1564 to 2818 of the family's 2925-position model. The record is from RNAcentral.